RNAcentral lists this ribosomal RNA (422 nucleotides) under uncultured soil bacterium. Its description in RNAcentral is "bacterial SSU rRNA". It matches the Rfam family "Bacterial small subunit ribosomal RNA", at positions 958 to 1393 of the family's 1533-position model. The record is from RNAcentral.
AACGCGAAGAACCUUACCCAGGCUNGACAUCCUAGGAACCCUUGAGAAAUCAGGGGGUGCCCUCGGGAGCCUAGUGACAGGUGCUGCAUGGCCGUCGUCAGCUCGUGUCGUGAGAUGUUGGGUUAAGUCCCGCAACGAGCGCAACCCUUAUCGUAUGUUGUAUUUUUCAUGCGAGACUGCCCGGGCCAACCGGGAGGAAGGUGGGGAUGACGUCAGGUCAGCAUGGCCCUUACGCCUGGGGCUACACACGUCAUACAAUGGCCGGUACAACGCGCUGCAAACCCGCGAGGGGGAGCUAAUCGCACCAAAACCGGUCUCAGUUCGGAUUGCAGGCUGCAACUCGCCUGCAUGAAGUCGGAAUCGCUAGUAAACGUGGGUCAGCAUACCACGUUGAAUACGUUCCCGGGUCUUGUACACACCGA